CUCACAAAAAAAAAUUUAAAAUAUUAUUUUUAAUGGGUUAGGAAUGAUGAUAAACAGGUAAGUAGAAUAUCAAAUUACAAAAUCAUCAUAAUACCAGGUUGAUGGUCAUUUUGCCUAUAUUUUAUGAUCGCUAACUAAAAUCAGACACUUAUAAAAUUCUACCUUACAGACCCUCUCUCUCUAAACUAGGGUCAAUUCACUGCCCCUUCUCUCUCUAAACUAGGGUCAGUGACGGUGACUUGGUGAAGUUUUGGUGGUGACGACGAAGGUGACUUGGCGGAGUUUUGGUGGUGACGACGACGGUGACUUGGUGGAGUUUUGGUGGUGACGGCGAUGGUGAUUUAGUUGAAGACACCAUGCCGUUGGUGGUUCGAUAAAAAUCUGGUAGUCAGAGAAGAAAAGGGAAGGGAUUAACUCCAA
Molecule: long non-coding RNA, 420 nt
Organism: Capsicum annuum
Lineage: Eukaryota; Viridiplantae; Streptophyta; Magnoliopsida; Solanales; Solanaceae
Exons: 2
Source: RefSeq, a predicted model, not a curated record